RNAcentral lists this ribosomal RNA (258 nucleotides) under uncultured bacterium. Its description in RNAcentral is "partial 16S ribosomal RNA". It matches the Rfam family "Bacterial small subunit ribosomal RNA", at positions 793 to 1055 of the family's 1533-position model. The record is from RNAcentral.
GUCCACGCCGUAAACGAUGGAUACUAGCUGUUGGAAGCAAUUUCAGUGGCUAAGCGAAAGUGAUAAGUAUCCCACCUGGGGAGUACGUUCGCAAGAAUGAAACUCAAAAGGAAUUGACGGGGGCCCGCACAAGCGGUGGAGCAUGUGGUUUAAUUCGAUGAUACACGAGGAACCUUACCAAAGGCUUAAAUGUAGAUUGACCGGUUUGGAAACAGACUUUUCGCAAGACAAUUUACAAGGUGCUGCAAUGGUUGUCGU